AAAAAAGCAAACCGUGGGUUCUCGUGCCAAUGUUUGACUGUCCGUCUUAUAUGAAUUUUUUUUAUAAUUAGUAUUUUCAUUGUUGUUAGAUGAUAAAACAUGAUUAAUACUUUAUGCUUUUUUAAUUUUUUUUUUUAAUUUUUUUCAUAAUUUUUUCAAAUAAGACGGACAGUCAAACAUUGGACACGGAAACUGGGGUUUGUCUUUUUU
MicroRNA precursor from Oryza rufipogon (brownbeard rice), 210 nucleotides. It matches the Rfam family "MIR812 microRNA precursor family". The record is from Rfam. Lineage: Eukaryota; Viridiplantae; Streptophyta; Magnoliopsida; Poales; Poaceae.